Solanum lycopersicum (tomato) is the source of this 1347-nucleotide long non-coding RNA. RefSeq lists it as uncharacterized. NCBI's taxonomy places the organism in Eukaryota, Viridiplantae, Streptophyta, Magnoliopsida, Solanales, Solanaceae. The record is from RefSeq and is a predicted model, not a curated record.
UUCAACCCAUUUAAGCGAUCCAUUACCAACCUUUCCCAAUUAGCUGAAAAUGUCCAGCCCAAUUCACCCCACUCCAAUCUCCACUCCACUCAUCUCCAACCCAGUCUCCUCCGACCCAGCCCAACACAUCUUAACCCAACUCAGACCCUUCUCAUCCUCAAAGAGAAAGCUUCCCAUAACCCUCAAAAUGCGUGCAGUAGCGAUGCACCCGCUUAGCAGCAGCAAUUGGCGAUGAUUUUCACGGAGCGAGGAUGGACCAACCGUCCAAGCAAGCGCGUGCACCCCGGACAGAUGUAAGGUUCACAAGAGACGGAGAAGGAUAACAUACUAACGUAUCCAUCUCCUUUUUAUACUCUCUACAACUUUACAUGUAUAGCAACAACGCCAGACGCGCUUUCGUCUUUGACAAGAUUCAUGAUCGGUUUGUCUAACCCCCGUUGUUCCAAAAAUAGUGUUCCUUUCGCAUAUGCAGUUUUCUGUGGAUUGAUAAGUAUAUUUGUUGUAUGACCAGGCUUGAAGUUUAACACCGCUUCAUCAAAUGUGUUAUUGUAUCAUCUUAAAUGUCUGAAUAGAUAUUUCGUUUCUAUGUGUCCCCUACUCAAUAAUUAUGAAAUGUAUUUAAAUAUCAACUUUAGUUACAGAUUUGCUACCUUACCAAUUUUAUCUAAUAUUACUUUAAUUGUUGGCAUUAUUUAAUAGCAUCCAAUUUACAUGACAUUUAUUUGUUGUGGAUUUUAAGUGUUGGAAUAAUGGCCCCAAUGACCAUUAUUUCAUUAUCAGUGUGCCUUGGAUUUAGUCUCAUUUGAGUUUGUAUCUCUUCGUCUAGGACCUGUUAUUUAAGUUCAACUUAGUUUAUUUUUAUCUAUGUGUAGUUUAUUUUUAUCUAAGUGUCUUUUUUGCUAUUUUUUUGGAUACUAAUCUUUACUCCCAUUUUGUUUGCAUGUGAAAUCCGUUUGAGUUCAUUAUGAACUCUUACCCUUUCCCUUGCAUUUCGAGAGAGUCGUAAAGGCUUAAAUUCCUAGUUUUGAGUUAAUCCCAAGCCGGCGUACAUGUCUUGAAGUAGGAAGGGAAGCCGACAUGAAGCUGAAAAAACAAGAAAUUGAGGCGUCCCAAUAUUUUUUUAUACUUAUUUUGCAUCUUGUUAUCUUUGGGCUUAAGCCCUUGUCGUCUUUUAUUUUCCGUAUUUAUUGCUUAUUAUUGUAUAACUAGUUUAGGACAGGUACAAAAAGAAAUGGCCUCCAAAAGGCCAAAUGGAUCCAAAUAUAGGUCCAGGCAGACAGAAACCGGAUUCGGACCCAACUCUCUCUCUCUAUUUUUCCUUUCACGUAUAUUUAGUUUGUUGGUUGA